GUUAGGAAUAUUGGACAAUGGGCGCAAGCCUGAUCCAGCCAUGCCGCGUGAGUGAUGAAGGCCUUCGGGUUGUAAAGCUCUUUAGUCCACGAAUAUAAUGACUGUAGUGGAAGAAUAAGCCCCGGCUAACUUCGUGCCAGCAGCCGCGGUAAUACGAAGGGGGCGAGCGUUAUUCGGAAUCACUGGGCGUAAAGCGUGCGUAGGCUGUUUUGUAAGUCAGAAGUGAAAGCCCAGGGCUUAACCCUGGAAUUGCUUUUGAAACUACAAGACUCGAAUUCGGGAGAGGAUAGCGGAAUUGUCAGUGUAGCAGUGAAAUGCGUAGAUAUUGACAGGAACACCAGUGGCGCAAGCGGCUAUCUGGACCGAUAUUGACGCUGAGGCACGAAAGCGUGGGGAGCAAACAGGAUUAGAACCCCUGUAGUCC
This 424-nucleotide ribosomal RNA is filed under the name uncultured bacterium. RNAcentral's name for it is "partial 16S ribosomal RNA". It matches the Rfam family "Bacterial small subunit ribosomal RNA", at positions 354 to 796 of the family's 1533-position model. The record is from RNAcentral.